GAUUCUGCCCUGCGGGGAAGAAUGAGAAGCUUCGACUAAGGUUCGACUCGAGCGCCAGCGAGAGAACGUUGCCAAGGGCAACGGCCCGAAGGGCGAGGAGCGAUAGCGACGAGUUAUCCUUCCCCCACCACCA
Molecule: small RNA, 133 nt
Filed under: Klebsiella variicola
Lineage: Bacteria; Pseudomonadati; Pseudomonadota; Gammaproteobacteria; Enterobacterales; Enterobacteriaceae
Also listed under: 1 other name
Description: RtT sRNA
Rfam family: RtT RNA
About the family: This family represents a bacterial cis-regulatory element known as RtT RNA. The exact function of RtT is unknown although it is thought that it may be involved in changing the cellular response in relation to amino acid starvation.
Source: RNAcentral